Molecule: long non-coding RNA, 780 nt
Organism: Magnolia sinica
Lineage: Eukaryota; Viridiplantae; Streptophyta; Magnoliopsida; Magnoliales; Magnoliaceae
Exons: 2
Source: RefSeq, a predicted model, not a curated record
AGCUGGCAGAGGAGCCAAAUGAACCCAUACUACAGAACACAUAUGAUGUAACUGUAGAAGAGCUCUCAGAGAAGCCAGGAGAAACAGCUGAAAUGUUUGAUGGGCGUCUUCAAGUUAGUGAAGCGAAUGAUGAUCCACAAUAGUCCACUGAAGAAGACGAAAGUGAGAGGGAAGAAUGAGAGCUGGUGCCAGAUGGGGCCCAACCACAAGACAGUGUUGAUGUGGCAGGCGUGAUGGACAUGGAACCCGGCGAUAGCUUGGGCGAGCCUGGUGAUGCAGCGGCCGACAUUGAUAAUGACGGAGCAAUUGUUGAUAUGAGUGAUCCAGCCGUUUAGAUUGCUUCCCCUAUGCCUACUGUGACUCAUGCUAGAACAUUCAAUCCACUGUCUGCUUUGACAAACAAACGGGAUUCAUAAUCAAGCUGCCACAAAUAGGAAAACCUUGUCUUCCUGUGGAAAAAGAAGAAGAAGGAAACAAGAUCUCUAGAAAAAGAAGAAGAAGAAGUCCCAGUCUCAGUGCCCUGUGGUGCAAUUCCCAAAAAAACACAACCAAGGAAAAAUUCUCUCAAUGAAGCCGGCAGCAGCAGCAAUGACAGAAAUCCUGGAUGUACAGCAGCAACAGCAAUGACAGUUUGUUUGUUUUGAAAACUUUAAAUAGACCAUUAAUUGUUUUGUUGGUAUUGUGCUGAUUUUUGUCUUGAUGGAUGUUAAAUGGGUGAAACAUGCACAGGUUCAAUCAUUGGUUGAUUAUAAUAUUGUUAGCUUUUGUUGAUAGAAACUA